This 22-nucleotide microRNA is filed under the name Caenorhabditis briggsae. Its description in RNAcentral is "cbr-miR-255". Its record names the gene cbr-miR-255. The record is from miRBase by way of RNAcentral. RNAcentral also lists the same sequence under 3 other names. Lineage: Eukaryota; Metazoa; Nematoda; Chromadorea; Rhabditida; Rhabditidae.
AAACUGAAGAGAUUUUUUACAG